GACGAACGCUGGCGGCGUGCUUAACACAUGCAAGUCGAACGGUAAGCCUCUGCGUUGGGGAGCAGUGGGGGAGGGGUGAGUGAGAGGUAGACAAGAUUAACCCGGCUCUGGGAUAAGUCCAAGUUAUGGGGGCUAAUGCCAAUAGUUCACCGCUUCCCGCGUGGGUGGUGGUGGGAAGGGUUGGCGGCUGGGGAUGGGCCCGCGGCCUAUCAGCUUGUUGGUGGGGUAGUGGCGUACCAAGGCGACGACGGGUAGCCGGCCUGAGAGGGUGACCGGCCACACUGGGACUGAGAUACGGCCCAGACUCCUACGGGAGGCAGCAGUGGGGAAUAUUGCGCAAUGGGCGGAAGCCUGACGCAGCGACGCCGCGUGCGGGAUGACGGCCUUCGGGUUGUAAACCUCUUUCGGCAGGGACGAAGCGCAAGUGACGGUACCUGCUGAAGAAGCACCGGCUAACUACGUG
This 463-nucleotide ribosomal RNA is filed under the name uncultured bacterium. Its description in RNAcentral is "partial 16S ribosomal RNA". It matches the Rfam family "Bacterial small subunit ribosomal RNA", at positions 28 to 507 of the family's 1533-position model. The record is from RNAcentral.